GCUGGGUGCAGCGGUGCAUGCCUGUAGUCCCAGGUACUCAGGAGGCUGAGGCAGGAGGAUUGCUUAAGGUAAGCCCAGGAGUUCUAAGGCAUAGUGCUCUAUGGCAGUGGAGUGUCCAUACUAAGUUCAGCAUUUCCUGGAAGUGAGGGACUACCAUAUUGCCUAAAAAGGGGUUAACUGGCCCAGGUCAGAAACUCCUCUGCUCAUCAUUAGUGCAACUGUGUCUGUGAAUAGACACUACACUCCAGCGUGGGCAACAUAGCAAGACACAAUCUGU
This 277-nucleotide non-coding RNA is filed under the name Saimiri boliviensis boliviensis (Bolivian squirrel monkey). Lineage: Eukaryota; Metazoa; Chordata; Mammalia; Primates; Cebidae. The record is from RNAcentral.